GCCUAUACAUGCAAGUCGAACGAACUCUGGUAUUGAUUGGUGCUUGCAUCAUGAUUUACAUUUGAGUGAGUGGCGAACUGGUGAGUAACACGUGGGAAACCUGCCCAGAAGCGGGGGAUAACACCUGGAAACAGAUGCUAAUACCGCAUAACAACUUGGACCGCAUGGUCCGAGCUUGAAAGAUGGCUUCGGCUAUCACUUUUGGAUGGUCCCGCGGCGUAUUAGCUAGAUGGUGGGGUAACGGCUCACCAUGGCAAUGAUACGUAGCCGACCUGAGAGGGUAAUCGGCCACAUUGGGACUGAGACACGGCCCAAACUCCUACGGGAGGCAGCAGUAGGGAAUCUUCCACAAUGGACGAAAGUCUGAUGGAGCAACGCCGCGUGAGUGAAGAAGGGUUUCGGCUCGUAAAACUCUGUUGUUAAAGAAGAACAUAUCUGAGAGUAACUGUUCAGGUAUUGACGGUAUUUAACCAGAAAGCCACGGCUAACUACGUGCCAGCAGCCGCGGUAAUACGUAGGUGGCAAGCGUUGUCCGGAUUUAUUGGGCGUAAAGCGAGCGCAGGCGGUUUUUUAAGUCUGAUGUGAAAGCCUUCGGCUCAACCGAAGAAGUGCAUCGGAAACUGGGAAACUUGAGUGCAGAAGAGGACAGUGGAACUCCAUGUGUAGCGGUGAAAUGCGUAGAUAUAUGGAAGAACACCAGUGGCGAAGGCGGCUGUCUGGUCUGUAACUGACGCUGAGGCUCGAAAGUAUGGGUAGCAAACAGGAUUAGAUACCCUGGUAGUCCAUACCGUAAACGAUGAAUGCUAAGUGUUGGAGGGUUUCCGCCCUUCAGUGCUGCAGCUAACGCAUUAAGCAUUCCGCCUGGGGAGUACGGCCGCAAGGCUGAAACUCAAAGGAAUUGACGGGGGCCCGCACAAGCGGUGGAGCAUGUGGUUUAAUUCGAAGCUACGCGAAGAACCUUACCAGGUCUUGACAUACUAUGCAAAUCUAAGAGAUUAGACGUUCCCUUCGGGGACAUGGAUACAGGUGGUGCAUGGUUGUCGUCAGCUCGUGUCGUGAGAUGUUGGGUUAAGUCCCGCAACGAGCGCAACCCUUAUUAUCAGUUGCCAGCAUUAAGUUGGGCACUCUGGUGAGACUGCCGGUGACAAACCGGAGGAAGGUGGGGAUGACGUCAAAUCAUCAUGCCCCUUAUGACCUGGGCUACACACGUGCUACAAUGGAUGGUACAACGAGUUGCGAACUCGCGAGAGUAAGCUAAUCUCUUAAAGCCAUUCUCAGUUCGGAUUGUAGGCUGCAACUCGCCUACAUGAAGUCGGAAUCGCUAGUAAUCGCGGAUCAGCAUGCCGCGGUGAAUACGUUCCCGGGCCUUGUACACACCGCCCGUCACACCAUGAGAGUUUGUAACACCCAAAGUCGGUGGGGUAACCUUUUAGGAACCAGCCGCCUAA
This 1448-nucleotide ribosomal RNA is filed under the name Lactiplantibacillus plantarum. Its description in RNAcentral is "bacterial SSU rRNA". It matches the Rfam family "Bacterial small subunit ribosomal RNA". Lineage: Bacteria; Bacillati; Bacillota; Bacilli; Lactobacillales; Lactobacillaceae. The record is from RNAcentral.